UCAAAUUUGUAAUAAUUUUUUAAAAUUCACCUACAUGAUUAGAUUGAAGAUACAGAGACAUGGUUAAUAAAGUCAUGUUAUAUUUUUAGUUUAAGAAAUAUAUUUUCUAAAAUUUCACCGUCUCACAAUCUAAACAUAUAACAAAAAAAUAGGGAUAUAUAAAUUUUAAAAAAAAACUGAGAAUCUAGGAUAACAAUAAAAAACAACUCAAGCACAUUCGUUUUUCAGAUGAACUAAUAUAGUUGGACUUUUCAAAAACAAUUACAAAUCAUAUUUAUGUUUUAAAACCGAUGCAUUCAACUUUAUUUUAUAUGAACAGACAUUAUAUAAAAUAAUUUGUAAAUAGUAAUACAUAAACCCGCACGUAGUGCGGGUACUCAUCUAGUAUAUUUUAAAAGUACGUAU
Molecule: small RNA, 405 nt
Filed under: Arabidopsis thaliana (thale cress)
Lineage: Eukaryota; Viridiplantae; Streptophyta; Magnoliopsida; Brassicales; Brassicaceae
Description: ATSL055960
Source: RNAcentral